Molecule: ribosomal RNA, 284 nt
Filed under: Carapoia rheimsae
Lineage: Eukaryota; Metazoa; Arthropoda; Arachnida; Araneae; Pholcidae
Description: partial 12S ribosomal RNA
Source: RNAcentral
UUGGCGGUUAUAUUAUCUUAAAGAAACUUGUUUUAUAAUCGACAAUACCCGAUAACUUUUACUUAAUAUAAACAUAUUUAUAUACCGUCGUUUUUAGAAAAUUUUAAAAUUAAAUCUCAUAAUCAACAACCUAUAAAAAUCAGAUCAAGGUGUAAUUAAUUUAUAAGAAAAAAUAAGUUACAAUUAAACAUAAUUUAAGGAAUUUGUUUAAAACAGACAAAAGAAAAAGAAUUUAUAAUUAAUUUUGAAUCAAAAUUUCAAAUAGAAAACAAAAUUUAUAAUGC